CUCACGAUCGACUAAAAGGAAAGUCGCCCGGAGAUAUUGGUUCAAAUCCAAUUCGUGAGA
RNAcentral lists this transfer RNA (60 nucleotides) under Lotus japonicus. RNAcentral describes it as "tRNA-OTHER". It matches the Rfam family "tRNA". From Rfam's summary of the family: Transfer RNA (tRNA) molecules are approximately 80 nucleotides in length. Their secondary structure includes four short double-helical elements and three loops (D, anti-codon, and T loops). Lineage: Eukaryota; Viridiplantae; Streptophyta; Magnoliopsida; Fabales; Fabaceae. RNAcentral also lists the same sequence under 1 other name. The record is from RNAcentral.